GACUACCCGCUGAAUUUAAGCAUAUUAAUAGGCGGAGGAAAAGAAACUAACAAGGAUUCCCCAAGUAGCGGCGAGCGAACAGGGAAGAGCCCAGCACGGAAUCCCGCGUGGCAACGCGCAGGGAGAUGUCGUGUGUGGGAGGUUCCGCAUUCUCGGGUUUCGGUGCCGAGUUCAAGUCUCCCUUGAACGGGGCUACAGCCCGUAGAGGGUGCCAGGCCCGUAGUGACCGGCACCGUGCCCGAGAGGAGCUCUCCUCAGAGUCGUGUUCCUUGAGAGUGGAGCACUAAGUGGGUGGUAAACUCCAUCUAAGGCUAAAUAUGACCACGAGACCGAUAGCGAACAAGUACCGUGAGGGAAAGUUGAAAAGAACUUUGAAGAGAGAGUUCAACAGUACGUGAAACCGUUCAGGGGUAAACGGGAGAGAUCCGAAUAGGCGAAAGGGGGAGACUCAUUCUUGUCCACGCAGGGCGCCCGAAGUUGCCUUGGGGAUGGCCCCGGCCAGCGGUCGCGUCGCAAGGCGCGCUCCGUGUCGGUCCGGAGUCACCCUUGGCCCGGAAGCACAAAGUCCCUGGUGCUGGCGAGGUGCACUUCUCCUCCGAGUAGGACGUCGCGACUCGUUGGGCACCGGUCUGCAAGGGCUCUGGGAAUUGUCCUUAGUCGACCUCCGAAGCCGGUUUGGCUCGGGCCAAAGGUCGCCGGGAACCUGUUCUGUGCCUGGCCGGAGCCCGACGGUAUAGCAUGGCGGAGAAGGCCCGCUCCUUAACUGCGAGUGAGCGUCCGGACCGAGGGCAAGCUCUUCGGGUGGUGUUUCGGUGGUCCGUGGCGAACGCCACGCCCCCGGCCCCCGUCGGCUGUUGGCCCACGGAUUCCUCGGACGGUAGCCGUCUCCCGUCGGCGGCGCUUAAAGCUUCGGUCUCUUUCCCGACCCGUCUUGAAACACGGACCAAGGAGUCUAACAUGUGCGCGAGUCAUUGGGCUGUCUAAACCCAAAGGCGCAGUGAAAGCAUGGCAAAGGCGCGUCACUCGUUGGCGUUGCCGAUGUUUGUUGGGAGGAUGGCCGUCUGGCCUCGCCCUCCGCGGCGAGUGUCCGGGCCCGCACUCCCGGGGCGCAUCGGCCUCGGCCGCAGGCGCACCCAGAGCGUACACGUUGGGACCCGAAAGAUGGUGAACUAUGCCUGGUCAGGACGAAGUCAGGGGAAACCCUGAUGGAGGUCCGCAGCGAUUCUGACGUGCAAAUCGAUCGUCAGAGCUGGGUAUAGGGGCGAAAGACUAAUCGA
This 1277-nucleotide ribosomal RNA is filed under the name Blattella lituricollis (false German cockroach). RNAcentral's name for it is "eukaryotic LSU rRNA". It matches the Rfam family "Eukaryotic large subunit ribosomal RNA", at positions 19 to 938 of the family's 3401-position model. The record is from RNAcentral. Lineage: Eukaryota; Metazoa; Arthropoda; Insecta; Blattodea; Blattellidae.